Molecule: ribosomal RNA, 639 nt
Filed under: uncultured Actinomycetes bacterium
Lineage: Bacteria; Bacillati; Actinomycetota; Actinomycetes
Description: bacterial SSU rRNA
Rfam family: Bacterial small subunit ribosomal RNA
Source: RNAcentral
CGCGGCCUAUCAGCUUGUUGGUGAGGUAACGGCUCACCAAGGCAUCGACGGGUAGCUGGUCUGAGAGGACGAUCAGCCACACUGGGACUGAGACACGGCCCAGACUCCUACGGGAGGCAGCAGUAGGGAAUCCUGCGCAAUGGGCGAAAGCCUGACGCAGCAACGCCGCGUGGGGGAUGAAUGCCUUCGGGUUGUAAACCCCUUUCAGCAGGGACGAAAAUGACGGUACCUGCAGAAGAAGCUCCGGCCAACUACGUGCCAGCAGCCGCGGUAAUACGUAGGGAGCGAGCGUUGUCCGGAAUUAUUGGGCGUAAAGAGCUCGUAGGCGGUUCAGUAAGUCGGGUGUGAAAACUCAAGGCUCAACCUUGAGACGCCACUCGAUACUGCUGUGACUUGAGUCCGGUAGAGGAGUGUGGAAUUCCUGGUGUAGCGGUGAAAUGCGCAGAUAUCAGGAGGAACACCAGCGGCGAAGGCGGCACUCUGGGCCGGUACUGACGCUGAGGAGCGAAAGCAUGGGGAGCAAACAGGAUUAGAUACCCUGGUAGUCCAUGCCGUAAACGUUGGGCACUAGGUAUGGGAUCAUAUCAACGGAUUCCGUGCUGUAGCUAACGCAUUAAGUGCCCCGCCUGGGGAGUACGG